AUUGAACGCUGGCGGCGUGCUUAACACAUGCAAGUCGAUCGGUAACAGGUGUAGCAAUACAUGCUGACGAGAGGCGGACGGGUGAGUAAUGCUUGGGAAUCUGCCUAUUAGUGGGGGACAACCCGGGGAAACUCGGGCUAAUACCGCAUACGCUCUACGGAGGAAAGCCGGGGACCGCAAGGCCUGGCGCUAUUAGAUGAGCCUAAGUCCGAUUAGCUAGUUGGUAGGGUAAGGCCUACCAAGGCGACGAUCGGUAGCUGGUCUGAGAGGACGACCAGCCACACUGGGACUGAGACACGGCCCAGACUCCUACGGGAGGCAGCAGUGGGGAAUAUUGGACAAUGGGCGCAAGCCUGAUCCAGCGAUGCCGCGUGUGUGAAGAAGGCCUGCGGGUUGUAAA
Molecule: ribosomal RNA, 400 nt
Filed under: uncultured bacterium
Lineage: Bacteria
Description: bacterial SSU rRNA
Rfam family: Bacterial small subunit ribosomal RNA
Source: RNAcentral